Peromyscus maniculatus bairdii (prairie deer mouse) is the source of this 930-nucleotide non-coding RNA. NCBI's taxonomy places the organism in Eukaryota, Metazoa, Chordata, Mammalia, Rodentia, Cricetidae. The record is from RefSeq and is a predicted model, not a curated record.
UUCAAAAACAAAAAAGGAGGAAAUGCUACGCCCACAGCUGUGACACCUGUGUAGCUGUAGCAAAGCAUGCCGAUGCGCUGGGGUCCGGCAGCUGAAGGGUUGAGGUUGGAGCUUCCUGGAGCGUGGCCUCAAGAGGUUCCCCCACAAUCAGCAGUCGCCAUGCAGCCUGAGGAUUCCAGGAGGCCCUGGAGGACAAGAUGGCCUUGGCGACAGUCCUUGUUGGCACUAAUCAUGCUUUUUCUCUGUAUGUCUUAUCUGUGUUGGGGGGCGUUGGUGGACAGCCCCUAGGUGGACCCCUGAGAGUGGAAAUUACCUAGAGCUGCUCCCAUAUACGGGAAGCUAUGAUGAAGUUGGGAAUAGAUGGGUGAAUCAUGAAGGAAAGAAACAACUUUGGAGUGAUUUGCCUUUUAUGGAAAGGCUAGUCAGGACUAGAAAGCCUUGGUGCCUUUAUAGUAAGGAAGAAAGACAGCAGAUCAUAGAAAAUAUGAAGCCAGCCCUAAGGUAUUGGUAUAGAAGGGUAUAUGACAACUGGAAGGAUAAGUGGAUAUAUAGGAGUGAGGAAGAAAUAAAUGAAAUUAUACAAAAAGUAUAUAGAGGGUGAGUUAAACCUUGGCUGGUAAAAAUCUGGUUCCCACAGAUGUGGUCUUUGGCGCAAGACAGAUUUCACAAAAUUCUGAGAUCAUGCCCUUAAGCAACAACCGCAAUGAACUCCAAGCUGCGGAAGUGAUACACAGAAAUAGAUACUGAUGUACUUUGUUAUUGUCUCUUGCACUACACAGAAAUAGAUACUGAUGUACUUUGUUAUUGUUUCUUGCUGAUUCUGAGUAAUUGUAAAAGUUAAAAGUCUGAUGUAACCCCCUGCCAAGUUCCUUGAUUGUAAAAGAAUAUAAGCACUGAUUUUGCAGAAGUAAAUCUGCAGCAGCACAACAA